Long non-coding RNA from Triticum aestivum (bread wheat), 1456 nucleotides. RefSeq lists it as uncharacterized. The record is from RefSeq and is a predicted model, not a curated record. NCBI's taxonomy places the organism in Eukaryota, Viridiplantae, Streptophyta, Magnoliopsida, Poales, Poaceae. The transcript has 4 exons.
GAAAGUGAACUCGGUGAUUUCGAGUAAUUCUAAGAGUAUACAUCUCAUCUAUCUGGUAUCCUUUUUUGAGUAAUGAUAAGAGGAUACAUCUCAUCUAUCAGGAAUUAAUCCAUCUCGUUUUCUCUGUGUUUACCUUGUUCUACAAAUGGCUAACUAGGUAAUGAUUAUUGAUAGCUAAUGACAUGAGGGAGAGGGGGACAAGCCCCUUUAGCUACUGCAAUACGGUUGUGCAUACAAAUGUGCUACUCAUAUUCCACUGUUAGACGAGCUAGCCGCGAGAAGCAGGUUGUAAGGGGAGCCAGAGAGGUGAGGGAGGUGACCAAAGCGGCAGCGGCCUUGGGGUGCCGAAGAAGAGUGCACGGGAGGAUGGAAAGGGGCUCGUAUACGACGGCUGGAAGAGAACUAUGCUUUCCUAAACCUGAAUGGGCCAGAAGUGGCAAGACAGAUCUGGCAGUCAAUUAUUCUUCAGUUUCGGUUGUGAUGUUUCAACAUGAGUUCGGAGCGUUAAUGCUUUGCUGAUGCGAGGAGGUGAAGUUGUAUGCUACCAGAGUGCAGAUAUUUCUUGGUAUGUUUGCUUUCAAGAAAAGAUGGAUGUGUGUUGUGACUGUGACAGAUGGUUCUACUGGAUAUGCUGUUGGGUAUAUAACAAGAAGCAUUGGUAAGGAUAUCAAAAUACAAGAGAAUGCUGCAACGACCAAGGUGCCAUAUAUAUAUCGAAGGAGGAUUCAGAAUAUGAAGUUACUGGAAACAUUGUUGGAAGUGUUGGUCCUGAGAGCACAGAAAAGGAUUCAUCGUUUCUUAUAAAAACAUUACGAUCAUUCAAAGAAGCUUUGAUUAAGGAGGAUGACACAAAUGUUGCUGAGAUUGAGGCCUUCUUACUUUGCAUUGAUGUCGAUGAUGAGAAGAACUCUCUUAUGAGGAAAAUCAUUGCUUUGAAUUAUUGAUAACCGUGAGAGAUCGUGUCUUGAGAGCAGGUGCAGAAUCUGAAUUCUACAGAUUGAGAGCAGGUGCAGAUUCUGAAUUCUGUACACAGAAGAUAGAAACAGAGAGCUGGUGGCAAAUGUGCAAGGGGAGGUUAUGGAGAGCUUUCUUCGCUAGCUGAAUAAGUCUAUCAGGAGUCAAGGCCUGUUUUGUUGGAGGCUUGAUGGAACUUGCCUGGCCUGAUAAGUAACUGUGCGCGCGGUUUGGUUGGCGUCCUGGGUGCUUGGCUUGAGCUAGCAUGCCGUGUUGUUAUCUUGGUUGAGGCAGCUGGAGUUAGCAACGUGAUUAGUCAAGGGUGGCUGUCGAUGCCAUCUAAAAAAUACUCCCUCCGUCCCAUAAUGUAAGACAUUUUUUGACACUACACUAAUGUCAAAAAAGUCCUAUAUUAUGGGACGGAGGGAGUAGGUCUUAAAACUUCAUAUUUUCUCAGGAAAAAUUCGUAUGAAUUAAUGAAUAUCAGGCUACAUUCAGGCGA